Molecule: non-coding RNA, 139 nt
Filed under: Ectocarpus siliculosus
Lineage: Eukaryota; Phaeophyceae; Ectocarpales; Ectocarpaceae
Source: Rfam by way of RNAcentral
GGUAAGCUUUUUUUGUCCAUAAUGAAGAUUUAGCGCCGUCGCUGACUUCCGCCGAACACGCUACGCACCGGCUCCUAGCGAUUCUGACGUGCAAAUCGAUCGUGAGAUUUGGGUAUGGGGGCGAAAGACUAAUCGAACC